Molecule: long non-coding RNA, 330 nt
Filed under: Numida meleagris (helmeted guineafowl)
Lineage: Eukaryota; Metazoa; Chordata; Aves; Galliformes; Numididae
Description: lncRNA (ENSNMEG00000005459.1)
Source: RNAcentral
GCUAUAGAUAGAUGACUAAGGAUGAUAUGCGAGUCACAUUUUUUUUAACAAUCUCUUAAACAUUUCCUUCAAUACAUCUACCCAGCUAAAAGGUUUAUCUUGCACGAUUCUGAUACUUUUAUUCCAAAAUGGAAAACAUUAGCAACCCAAACUGUGUCCUGUGAAGUAAUGAUUAUCCCACAUGAUGGUUCUGCUUCCAAUUUGUUCUUUUGUGAGCUGAAAAUGCUGCAUGUUUUCCAAACUCACACAGAGCUUAAUCAGCUGGAGGAGGAGGAAGAGCAAAGACUCCAGCCACUGACCGCAUCUGUACAUGCUGACUUGCUAAUUUGA